CCUACGGGGGGCUGCAGUAGGGAAUAUUGGGCAAUGGUCGCAAGACUGACCCAGCCAUUCCGCGUGAAGGACGAAGGGUCUCUGACUUGUAAACUUCUUUAGCAGGGGAAGAAAAAGGGGGUGCGCCCCCAACUGACGGUACCCUGAGAAUAAGCACCGGCUAACUACGUGCCAGCAGCCGCGGUAAUACGUAGGGUGCAAGCGUUGUCCGGAUUUAUUGGGUUUAAAGGGUGCGCAGGCGGCCUGUUAAGUCAGCGUUUAAAGGCAGCCGCUCA
This 275-nucleotide ribosomal RNA is filed under the name uncultured bacterium. RNAcentral's name for it is "partial 16S ribosomal RNA". It matches the Rfam family "Bacterial small subunit ribosomal RNA", at positions 338 to 611 of the family's 1533-position model. The record is from RNAcentral.